RNAcentral lists this long non-coding RNA (312 nucleotides) under Manihot esculenta (cassava). Its description in RNAcentral is "long non-coding RNA (MESC_LNC000658)". Lineage: Eukaryota; Viridiplantae; Streptophyta; Magnoliopsida; Malpighiales; Euphorbiaceae. The record is from RNAcentral.
UUUUGUGCAAAAAAGAAAAGAAAUUAUUAUGGUCUAGAUGAGAAAAAAAGACAUGGUUUCAUUCAAUCCAACAACAAUACAAACCAUUAGACGACAUGUCGUUUGGGUAUAGUACAACUACAAGAACCUCGGUGCUGGAGGAAGUCCGACUUCCACAUCCACAAGAUAUUAAUUAAGAGGAAAAACAAAAUAAUCUGAAAAACACCCAACAAAUGAGUAUGAGUUUCCAAGAUGAGCCAGAUUGCUUUUCAAUUGACUUGCCAGUCAACAUAGAUCCUAUCUACUUAAUUUCUGGCUACAAAACAAACAAAU